GGGAAUGUGGCUUAGUGGUAGAGCGCUUGCCUAGUGUGCAUGAAACCCAGGGCUCAAUUCUGCAGUACCA
Molecule: transfer RNA, 70 nt
Filed under: Dipodomys ordii (Ord's kangaroo rat)
Lineage: Eukaryota; Metazoa; Chordata; Mammalia; Rodentia; Heteromyidae
Rfam family: tRNA
About the family: Transfer RNA (tRNA) molecules are approximately 80 nucleotides in length. Their secondary structure includes four short double-helical elements and three loops (D, anti-codon, and T loops).
Source: Rfam by way of RNAcentral